RNAcentral lists this ribosomal RNA (431 nucleotides) under uncultured bacterium. Its description in RNAcentral is "bacterial SSU rRNA". It matches the Rfam family "Bacterial small subunit ribosomal RNA", at positions 29 to 506 of the family's 1533-position model. The record is from RNAcentral.
ACGAACGCUGGCGGCAUGCCUAACACAUGCAAGUCGAACGAGACCUUCGGGUCUAGUGGCGCACGGGUGCGUAACGCGUGGGAAUCUGCCCUCUGGUACGGAAUAACUCAGGGAAACUUGAGCUAAUACCGUAUAAUGACUUCGGUCCAAAGAUUUAUCGCCUGAGGAUGAGCCCGCGUAGGAUUAGCUAGUUGGUGAGGUAAGAGCUCACCAAGGCGACGAUCCUUAGCUGGUCUGAGAGGAUGAUCAGCCACACUGGGACUGAGACACGGCCCAGACUCCUACGGGAGGCAGCAGUGGGGAAUAUUGGACAAUGGGCGAAAGCCUGAUCCAGCAAUGCCGCGUGAGUGAUGAAGGCCUUAGGGUUGUAAAGCUCUUUUACCCGGGAUGAUAAUGACAGUACCGGGAGAAUAAGCCCCGGCUAACUCCGU